AGAAAAAUCAAUAACCUAACUGAAACCCGAUUUCCUCUGACGAUAACAUCGGUUUACUUCAAACUAUAAUCUCUAUUAAUAUGAUAACCAAGAAUCACAACGGUCGAAGGUGGUGCAGUUGUCAUGCCUUAGCCAUCUAUAUCAAGAGAUCAAAUCCGUUAUGAUUGAUAUUUAUGUUUCAAAAACAUAAUAAAUUUGGGUACAAACCGAAAUUCCGAUAUAUUAAAAAUGACAUACGGGUGCUUUGCAGGGGGCUGGCAUGUAGAGAUGUUUACAAAAUUAUGAAAGUAAAAUGCCUAAAUAGCGUAGGAUGUUUCUUGGGGCGUAAACACGGGUA
Molecule: long non-coding RNA, 337 nt
Organism: Papaver somniferum (opium poppy)
Lineage: Eukaryota; Viridiplantae; Streptophyta; Magnoliopsida; Ranunculales; Papaveraceae
Exons: 3
Source: RefSeq, a predicted model, not a curated record